CAGGGCGGGCGAGGCGGCGCCGGCUGCUGACCAGCCAACCGAGAGCGGCCCGGCCCGUCCCAUCCCGUCACGGACGCCUCUCACCCGCUUGCAUGUAUGCAGCGAACCGAGGUAAUAUUUAGAAAAGGAGGUGUGUCAGGGAGAGAAACAACUUCCCUUAAUUGCGUGCUCCAGCAACGCUUCAUAUAACUCUAAUGACCGUGAGUGUUUGGCUGGAGGCGGCAAUAAUCGCCCAGAGAGAGAGCUUCCCGCACUCGGUGGCAGCUAUGUUGUUUUGGGGCGUACAAAAACGUUGCUAGGGGGCAGCUGGAUGGAGACAUUUUGUGUGGAAAUGGAAUCAUGAAUUUAAUGUGUUGACCAUAACCCCUCAUCCCACUGCUGAUGUUGAUAGGUCCCUGCACAAAAUGUCUGCUUUUUCAAUACACCUUUGACCAGUCGUUUGAAACCACAUUAAAGUACUGGCAGGGACCGGAGAGGAGGUAAUUAUAUCACCUAGCUCACCCUGGGAUAAUUUGGGGUUAUUCACUAGUACAUUUAUCAAUUUAAGAAAUUGGUACAGGCAUUGAUCUGCAGCGGUAAAAUGCCAUUGGGCUGCUCUCCUAUAUUCUCAAUCACACUAGAUACUUUUCUGACUUUAUUCAACAUAGCUUCAUUUGACCAGCCAACAUAUUCAGAGAUUUACACAGUGGGGAAAAAUGGAACUGAUCCAUCCUUUUCAAAUGUAAUUAAAGUUCUUGUAAUACUGUAUUAUGGCACAGUGUGCUCAGCAAUGAGUGAGUAAACAUGACUGCCUAUUUACAAUACUUUGGGAAAUGGCCUGGUGGGGCUAUUAACAUGAGCUAAAGGUAUGAAUUUCUGUCUCAAACUCUGCCAGAGUUGCAGAUGGGAACUGCUACAUAAGUGGAGUUACAUAGGAAGAAUUGUCCACCACAAAGCUGGCACAUGAUCAAAACAAUGUUCUUUGUUUCUCUCGUUUCCUUUGUUUGCUUCCCCUAUCUGAUUCCUUUUUUCCCACUAUUUUAUAUUCAUAGACGGCCUCCAGUGGCUAUAUUAUGUGCAACUAUUUCCAAUGCUGAGUGCUAUUCCAGCAUUCAUAACUGCAAGUGAAUGCUACCUAUUACAUAUACAUACAACAGUUGGGGCUUUUCUCUCCCAUGAAGACUACUGUACUCCCCAAAUUGCGUGAGGUUACAUUCCGUGAGCUCAUGCGUAAGUCAGAUUUUACGUCAUUUGGAAUUGGCACCCCCGCCUGAAAUAAAUCGCUGAGAGUAUUAACUGUCUCAGCUGUGUCCAGGGCAUAUUCUGUGGUGCACAGAUUUCUGGGUAAGUAUCGCUGCCAUUGCCGGCUUGUUUCCGAUGUAAAUUUGAGUGAUCGUACAGUGUUGUGGAAAUUACAAACUGCCUUGAUUGCACUAAGGACUGACUACAGAAUUGGUUAUGCAAGUGUGAAUUUACGAAAGUUGCCUAUUGCAUAAGUUGGGGAGUGUCUGUACUGUUGCUUGAAUUGUUUGUGAAGCGUAUUGCUUGACAUGUUUGUGGUGUAGCACAGAAAUCCACUUGAAACCCCAGGUGGAGAUUCUCAAGUGAGCAAUUACAAAUGUCUGUGAAGCCAUGUGUCCCAAAUAUAAUGGUGCCCUGAAAUGGGGGGACUAUGCACUGUUGUAAUACACUGCUGUAAUUUCUACAUGGU
Amblyraja radiata (thorny skate) is the source of this 1690-nucleotide long non-coding RNA. RefSeq lists it as uncharacterized. NCBI's taxonomy places the organism in Eukaryota, Metazoa, Chordata, Chondrichthyes, Rajiformes, Rajidae. The record is from RefSeq and is a predicted model, not a curated record. The transcript is spliced from 3 exons.